CAGCAGUGCUUCUCCCCCAAGGCUGGGGCGAUGGAAUCAGUUAGACUAUUGAGGGCAUCUGGAAGGGCAUCUGUGUCAGGGUUAGUCCUCAGGGUAUGGUGGCCAAUGGGUUUCUUUUGGUUGACUGUUGACAAUGCGUUUGUUGAAUGGCAGCCUGCACUAGGUGACGCUGAAGCCACAGAAGACACUGCAGUGGGAAAACCAGCAUGAGCCGCUGCCCCCAAGGAACCUCGAAGCCCAGGCAGAGGACCAGCCAUCCCAGCCCGCAGGUAAAGUGUGUCACCUGUCAGGUGGGCUUGGGGUGAGUGGGUGGGGGAAGUGUGUGUGCAAAGGGGGUGUGAGUGUGUAUGUGUGUGAGCACAUGAGUGAUGGCUAGUGUGACUGCAUGUCAGGGAGUGUGAACAAGCGUGCGAGGGUUGUGUGCAAGUGCGUAUGCAUAUGAGAAUAUGUGUCUGUGGAUGAGUGCAUUUGAAAGUCUGUGUGUGUGUGGUCAUGAGGGUAAGUUAGUGACUGAAUGCGCAGGAUGUGAGUGUGCAUGGAACACUCAGUGUGUGUGUGGCAAGUGUGUAGGCGUGUGAGGACAGGCAGAAGUGUGUCAGUGUUGUGAUGGGAGUGUGAAUGAGUGUGCAAAAAGGUGAGUGAAUGCAUGGAAGUGUGUGUCAACUAUGAAGGCAUGUAGUGUGUCAGUGUGUGCAGUGCAAGCAUGUGUGGGAAUGAGUGCUUGUUGGUGUGUCCAUAUCCAACGGGUAUGUGUGAAAGCAUGUAGUGUGUCAGUGUGUGCAGUGCAAGCAUGUGUGGG
This 799-nucleotide long non-coding RNA is filed under the name Homo sapiens (human). RNAcentral's name for it is "non-protein coding lnc-ARSF-6:2". Lineage: Eukaryota; Metazoa; Chordata; Mammalia; Primates; Hominidae. The record is from RNAcentral.